This 545-nucleotide ribosomal RNA is filed under the name uncultured Thermoplasmatales archaeon. Its description in RNAcentral is "bacterial SSU rRNA". It matches the Rfam family "Archaeal small subunit ribosomal RNA", at positions 339 to 882 of the family's 1478-position model. The record is from RNAcentral. Lineage: Archaea; Methanobacteriati; Thermoplasmatota; Thermoplasmata; Thermoplasmatales.
GCGCGAAAACUUCGCACUGUGCGAAAGCACGACGAGGGGAUCCCAAGUGCUAGCACGUAAGUGUUAGCUGUUUUUCUGUCUAAAAAACAGAGAGAGUAAGGGCUGGGUAAGACGGGUGCCAGCCGCCGCGGUAAUACCUGCAGCCCAAGUGGUGGCCACUAUUAUUGGGCCUAAAACGUCCGUAGCCGGUUUUGUAAAUGCCUGGGUAAAUUGUAUAGCUUAACUAUACGAAUUCCGGGUAGACUGCAAGACUUGAGACUGGGAGAAGCUAGAGGUACUCCGGGGGUAGAGGUGAAAUUCUGUAAUCCUCGGGGGACCACCGGUGGCGAAGGCGUCUAGCUAGAACAGGUCUGACGGUGAGGGACGAAGCCCUGGGGCGCAAACGGGAUUAGAUACCCCGGUAGUCCAGGGUGUAAACGCUGCUCGCUUGAUGUUAGCUGGGCUUCGAGCCCAGCUAGUGUCGGAGAGAAGUUGUUAAGCGAGCUGCCUGGGAAGUACGGUCGCAAGACUAGAAACGUUAAAGGAAUUGGGCGGGGGAGCGACCG